CUCUGGCCAGCACCUGGUAGAAUGACCUCGGUUCCCACGAGAUAGUAAGUUGUUGUCUGGUCUGACGUUCCAAAGCUCCUCCUCCCCCAAAGCUACAUGUUUAUAGUAACCAAAGAAUACAAAGUGUAAUAUGUGGCCAAGAUGUGACUAUCAUCUAGUGCUUCACUGCAUGGUACCUGUAGGAAUAUUUGCUCUUCUGAAAAUCUUAUGUUUCCUUGCCUUUUGGACCUCCCAAGCAGGAGCUAUUGUGGAGCUAUUACAGAUGAACUAAAGCAGGGCCUUCAAAUCCUUCAGAUUCUUGGUCAAAGGAAUGCUCCGUUCAACAAAAGAUUUUUUUAAAAAAUCCUAUCCAGUAUAUUAUGAAGGUUUCAGCCUUAAAAGGUACUAGGAUAUUGAUUUGCAAUUACAUCAUGAGUUGCCA
Non-coding RNA from Pantherophis guttatus, 421 nucleotides. The record is from RefSeq and is a predicted model, not a curated record. Lineage: Eukaryota; Metazoa; Chordata; Lepidosauria; Squamata; Colubridae.